Molecule: long non-coding RNA, 1960 nt
Organism: Cyprinodon tularosa
Lineage: Eukaryota; Metazoa; Chordata; Actinopteri; Cyprinodontiformes; Cyprinodontidae
Exons: 3
Source: RefSeq, a predicted model, not a curated record
AGGUGAUAAAAUUGGUUUGAUUCUGGGAAUCGCAGCUGCAGUUGUUUUCGCCAUCAUCUUUGUGUGUCUCAUCGUCUGCUGUGUCGUCCCUUGUUGCCUUUGCCACAAAAUAUGUAGAAAACAACGCCAUCGCGGGCAAGCAGCAGUAACAAAUACUGUAGCCAGCAUGCCCCAGCCUCCCUACUCACCAUCCGGAUAUCCAACACCCCCUUCGGGAUAUCAGCCUGUUUCGGGACAAGAGGGCUUGGCGAUGCCCAGUGCCCCGCCGCCAUCAUAUAUGGAGUGCACUUCUCCAUCGUACACUCCAGCUCCCUACAUACAAGGGCAGCCAAUGUACCCUUUGACUCCUCCCAACCAGCCUUAUGCACCACAGCUACCAGAGGAAGCUUCACAGCCCCCUUACAACCCCUCAUAUGGACCGCCAUCCUAAGCUGAAAGCUGCUCACUCAGUUAUGCUGCAUAUUAUAAAGACCAGAUUGCAAAAUCAGUGUGAUCUGUAAAACUUUUGGUCAUGUGUAGUUAUCCUGCAAAGCUUACUGUGUUAAAUUAAAAGGCAUGUAUACCCAGAGGUUAUAUUCAAUGUUUAUAGUUUCAUCGUUUUAAUGUAUACUCUUGUGGUAAAUGUUGAAGAGACCUAUUUAUUUCUGCUCCCUAUCUCUGCAGAGCAUUUUAAUUAUCUCUCAAAUUUUUGCACGUUAGCAUGUUACAUUUAUGCUGCAAUAAAAUUAUGAUAAUGACAAUCUAAAGAAAAAAAAGAUUUAAUAAUGCAAGAAACAUUGCACUACUUACAGAAAUAGAAUUUUGUUGCAUAAUAUCUAAGUCUAGCAAUUUUUUAUAUGAAGCAGAUUCAUGCUUUUUUUAUGCUGUCUUUGUUUACCUAAAAAUUUAUAAGAUUACAUUUAUCUAAGAAUAGAUUGACAUUACUACUGACUGGGAUUCCUCAACUAACCCAGCCUACCAGCAGAGGGCGCCACUGGCUGACUUUUUUAAAUGAAACUUUUGCUCCACAGACUGUUUCCCCACUAAUUUUGUUAAUACAUUGGAGGGAGCUUAAUACGUUUGUAGUCACAUAGUCUAAAUAGCAAUACUCAUGUUUGAAUGCUAAAUAAUUACACAAACUCUGCAGAGGCUCAUCAGUAAACUCUGAUUGAAGAAAUUAAACAGAUUUUCCAGUAGUAACUAUGCUUAAAUCUGGUAUAAAAGCAGUCUAUAUUCUACGAGUUCAUAAGUGCAUCUAAGUCUAAAAUGUGCUUUUUACUUCAUAAAAAAAUUGGUUUAAUAGACACGGACUGCUGACUGCUAUCCAUUAACAAAUUCUUUUCCCCCAACAAGUUAGAGUGGAAAAUGAUCCUGCUGUGUAAGCCUUUUGCAUUAGUGCUGAAAUGAUUAGACUCCUCUGUUUCCUUCCAGAACUGAAAUGAAUGAUAGCAAACAAAACUCCCUCAGGAUAUCAUUUCAAUAUAAGUAUCUAGAAAAAAUGAUAACAAAAAGUAGAUAUGAAAAGACAGCUCUUUACACCUUUUGUCACACAUAUUUUUACAUUGGACCAGGUUGGAUUGGUGAACUUCCUUCCAUUAAUAAAUUAAAACUCAUUUCAAACCUGCAAUUUCAAUUAAGUCUGGAUAUCUUUGCCUGAUAUCAAUAUAUCUCUAAGUGUAAGACAUUUGAUUUAUGGGUUCCAAAGAAGUUUUUUUUUUUGUCACUUAAAAAAAACAUUUAGAACUGUGCUCUCUUUAAGCAGGUAUUAAAGAAACUUUUCAUUAAGCCGACAUUUCUGUGUUAAAAAUGUAUUUUGUGUUGGUCUGCUGGAAUAUCCUAGUCUUUAAUGCCAUGUUUUUAUUAACUAUAAGCAGAAAAUUAACAGGCCUGGAAACAAAACAUCAAUCAGUGUGUGAUUAAUUGGUGUAAUAUGCUUUACUUAAUGAAUUGUGUUAUUGAAAUAAAUGGAAUCUGCAGUGGU